CGGAUCCAUCCUCAGUCCAUCCUGACCUGUAGGUAAACCAUUAAAGAUUGCGGUGCAGAUCAGACAUUGGAAGCUAUCUCAAAAAUUGGAUGCAACAUCUGGCUGAAACGAUUCCAGGAACAGCAGGAAGCAUCUGAGGUUGGGUGUGGAUCCCUGUCAUCUGGGAAUGCAGUGACAGCUGUAUGGGAAGUGCCUUUUGAAGUUUGGAGCAAGAGCAGGCCACUCCCAGAAGAAGGUGGAGGCACUCCAGGAACCAGAGAUGGAGGCUCUUCUGCAGACGCAUCUGGAAUUUUGUAGAACUGGAAGGUGGAGUGAGUG
This is a long non-coding RNA of Tupaia belangeri chinensis (Chinese tree shrew), 318 nucleotides long. RefSeq lists it as uncharacterized. The transcript has 3 exons. The record is from RefSeq and is a predicted model, not a curated record. NCBI's taxonomy places the organism in Eukaryota, Metazoa, Chordata, Mammalia, Scandentia, Tupaiidae.